This 492-nucleotide ribosomal RNA is filed under the name uncultured bacterium. Its description in RNAcentral is "partial 16S ribosomal RNA". It matches the Rfam family "Bacterial small subunit ribosomal RNA", at positions 29 to 507 of the family's 1533-position model. The record is from RNAcentral.
AGUGAAUGCUGGCGGUAACCCUAACACAUGCAAGUCGAUCGGAAGAACUCUAAGUCCUUGCUCUCACUGGUGGCGACUCGCGCUCGGGCAAGAAAUCUAUCGGAACUCACUCUUUCGUGGGGCAUAUCGUAGGGCUACAUCCGCUUAUACCGCUUCUGAUUCUCUGCUGAAAGCAUUGGAUUUUCGGUUCGAGGUCGAUUGAAGGAGCUGUUGGCGGUUUCGCUAGUUGGCGGGGUAAAGGCCCACGAAGGCGACGAUCUGCCGCCGGUCUGAGAGGAUGAUCAGCCACGCUGGAACUGAGACACGGUCCAGACUCCUACGGGAGGCAGCAGUGGGGAAUAUUUGACAAUGGGCGCAAGCCUGAUCCAGCCAUACCGCGUGGGUGAAGAAGGCCUUCGGGUUGUAAAGCCCUUUUGUUGGGAAAGAAAAGCAGCAGGUUAAUACCCCGCUGUUCUGACGGUACCCAAAGAAUAAGCACCGGCUAACUUCGUG